UGUUGAAAAAUUAGCGGAUGACUUGUGGCUAGGGGUGAAAGGCCAAUCAAACCUGGAGAUAGCUGGUUCUCCCCGAAAGCUAUUUAGGUAGCGCCUCGGACGAAUACUACUGGGGGUAGAGCACUGUUAAGGCUAGGGGGGCAUCCCGACUUACCAACCCUUUGCAAACUCCGAAUACCAGUAAGUACUAUCCGGGAGACACACGGCGGGUGCUAACGUCCGUCGUGGAGAGGGAAACAACCCAGACCGCCAGCUAAGGUCCCAAAGUAUAGCUAAGUGGG
Molecule: ribosomal RNA, 281 nt
Filed under: Vibrio algivorus
Lineage: Bacteria; Pseudomonadati; Pseudomonadota; Gammaproteobacteria; Vibrionales; Vibrionaceae
Description: partial 23S ribosomal RNA
Rfam family: Bacterial large subunit ribosomal RNA
Source: RNAcentral